GGGCGAUUAGCUCAGUUGGUUAGAGCGCCACCUUUACACGGUGGAUGUCGGGGGUUCGAGUCCCUCAUCGCCCAC
Molecule: transfer RNA, 75 nt
Filed under: Bifidobacterium dentium
Lineage: Bacteria; Bacillati; Actinomycetota; Actinomycetes; Bifidobacteriales; Bifidobacteriaceae
Also listed under: 5 other names
Description: tRNA-Val(tac)
Rfam family: tRNA
About the family: Transfer RNA (tRNA) molecules are approximately 80 nucleotides in length. Their secondary structure includes four short double-helical elements and three loops (D, anti-codon, and T loops).
Source: RNAcentral